UCCGGCUCUCCGUAGACUGCCUCCUGCGCCUGCGCAGGUGCCGGGACGCCGGGAUGAUAGAACGCCGGCUUUUAGAGAGUUCUCGCACCGGCUUGCUGCGCCGCGAAGUUUCCCUGGAAAAACGUGCCAGGAGACACCUUUGUGCGGAGGAGUGUAUACAUUUCUUUUGUAUUUCAGCGUCCGUUAUCUUAAAAUUUGUUCUUUUAGGUGAAAGAAUUUGAAGCUGAACAGCACGCACCAGAUUGCACGUGAUUAUAAGUCCCAGCUCCGAAUGCGAAAAGACUUUAACUCAAGACAUGGUGAAAUGAAUUGGAUACUUCCUAGUUAUUCCCGAGAAGAUGAAAUGGUUCACAUUUUCAGCUGCUUGUUGGAUGCUGGAUAAAUAUUUCUACAUGCAUACCUUACUGUCAACUCUAAUUCAGAAGCUCUAAAGGUUCUCCAAUAAAUCUGCUUCCCAAUGUAUGUCUGUUUUAGUUUCAUACUAAUACUAGUCAGGUAUCACAUUUGCUUUCCUUCGUGUUCAUUUCUUUCCUAACCAUGACGCUUGCAUCUCUAUUUUAUCAAUUCUUUGUUCAAACCAUUAUUCUAUUCAGCAAGACUAGAUCACUAUCCAUAUAGUGGCCAGAAAAAACCUUCUUAGAACAAUACACAUUACUGUCGCUCAACAAAUCUUUAGUGAUAUGCCAUCGCAGAUAAUGAUAAAGUUUAUAGUCUUUAAUUUGGAACUAACAUAUUCUGUUUUACUUCUGAACACAUUCUAAUGUGAAUCUUAUAUGCCAAAUUAAUUACCUCACCCUUCCAUCAACAUAACUUAUUUUCCCACACUGGUUCUGGAGGUUACUUUCGUCUGAAGUGAUUACUUUUUCUGUAGGGGAGACAAACUUUCUUCUACCUUCUUAGGUUCUAUGGCUGGGCCUAAGAAUAAAACUGACAUAACAGGAGGAAAAUCACACAAAUUUAUAUAGUAUUUUUAUGUGUACACGAGAGUCUUCAGAAGGAAAAUAAAGAAACGAAGAAGUUAUUAGACCCAAAGCUUAUAUACCUUUUCACACAGAUGAUAAAUUGUGGGGAUGGACAAGACAAAGGGGCUUAGCCUAGUGGCUAUUAAAUAUAUGGAGGAAACAAAUUGUGGAGAUACGGGUUAUUUUAUUAGGUUUGUAGUGGUCCAUUUCGGUAUCAAUCCCCAAUCUCUGGUGAUAGGAAUGUUCUCUUCUUGGCAGAGGGAAGGCACCUUUCAUAUAGGAAAUUUAAUGAUCAGUUUUACGUGAAAGGGGGAAGUCAGCCCUUCCUGCAUCUAUUUCUUAGUGCCUUCAGGUCAAAACAGUCAAUAUGCCGAAGUGGCAUAUUUUGGGAUGGGAUGUUCUGAACCCCUUCACUCUCUACCUUACUUAUUUAAAUCUUGUUUCCCUGUAACUCCUUUUCACCCAUCGAAUCCUCUUGAAUGCUACUAUACACUACCAAGAAUAACUGAUAAUUUAUUUGUGCAUAGUUUUGGUUUGUUUCCCAAUGAGACCAUAAAGUCUAGAAGGCUGGGUUGGGUUUUACAUUUUUUCGUUUCUUGUAUAAGUUUCUUGCACUCAACGGGUACUCAUGCAACAUCUGUGGAAUAAAAGUGAUUAAAAGAAACCAUUAA
Molecule: long non-coding RNA, 1633 nt
Organism: Hipposideros armiger (great roundleaf bat)
Lineage: Eukaryota; Metazoa; Chordata; Mammalia; Chiroptera; Hipposideridae
Exons: 3
Source: RefSeq, a predicted model, not a curated record